RNAcentral lists this ribosomal RNA (567 nucleotides) under Triticum aestivum (bread wheat). RNAcentral describes it as "partial small subunit ribosomal RNA". The record is from RNAcentral. Lineage: Eukaryota; Viridiplantae; Streptophyta; Magnoliopsida; Poales; Poaceae.
AUGGCCACCGGGUUCAAAGGCGUUCAAGAAAGAUACAACCCCAAGUGGAGUAGGGCCCAAGAAGAGCGCAAGGCUGCCGAUUUGGUCGACCAGAAGCUGAAAGAGAAGGCGAAUGAGCUGCGCACUUGGUGCAACGAGCGGGCCCGUGACCUCAUCAGGCAGGUGGAGAAACUUGCUGCCGCCAGAGAAGUGGUGGCAACCCGCAACAGCAAGUUGAUGGAGCGCGUGGUACUGCUUAACGUCAAAGAGAAGGAUCUUAUUGCACAGGAACAAGCCCUUACUACCACUCUCCAUGGCAAGGAUGAUGAAAUUGAAAUGCUCCUUAAGCAGCGGACCCAAGCGAUGGAGGACAAACACAAGGAAUCCAUUGAAGCCCAAGCCUUGGAGAGUGCUGCCAAACUUAAGGAGGCUGCUGAUGAGGUUGCUGUCGCUGCUAUCGCCAAGGUAGACCUUGGAAUCCAGGUGGGCAAGCUGAAGGAGGAGCUUGCCAACAGCAACAAGGAGAUCGAAAUCCUCAAGGGCGAAGCACAGAAAACAUCCCUCACUCUAGAGGAGCUACAGAUGUAG